GCUGCGAUGCUUUACCAUGCAGUCGAACGGCAGCACGGGCUUCGGCCUGGUGGCGAGUGGCGAACGGGUGAGUAAUACAUCGGAACGUACCCAGAAGUGGGGGAUAACGCAGCGAAAGUUGCGCUAAUACCGCAUACGUUCUACGGAAGAAAGUGGGGGAUCUUCGGACCUCAUGCUUUUGGAGCGGCCGAUGUCUGAUUAGCUAGUUGGUGGGGUAAAGGCUCACCAAGGCGACGAUCAGUAGCUGGUCUGAGAGGACGACCAGCCACACUGGAACUGAGACACGGUCCAGACUCCUACGGGAGGCAGCAGUGGGGAAUUUUGGACAAUGGGCGCAAGCCUGAUCCAGCAAUGCCGCGUGAGUGAAGAAGGCCUUCGGGUUGUAAAGCUCUUUUGUCAGGGAAGAAACGGUUCCGGCUAAUAUCCGGGGCUAAUGACGGUACCUGAAGAAUAAGCACCGGCUAACUACGUGCCAGCAGCCGCGGUAAUACGUAGGGUGCAAGCGUUAAUCGGAAUUACUGGGCGUAAAGCGUGCGCAGGCGGUUUUGUAAGUCUGUCGUGAAAGCCCCGGGCUCAACCUGGGAAUUGCGAUGGAGACUGCAAGGCUUGAAUCUGGCAGAGGGGGGUAGAAUUCCACGUGUAGCAGUGAAAUGCGUAGAGAUGUGGAGGAACACCGAUGGCGAAGGCAGCCCCCUGGGUCAAGAUUGACGCUCAUGCACGAAAGCGUGGGGAGCAAACAGGAUUAGAUACCCUGGUAGUCCACGCCCUAAACGAUGUCUACUAGUUGUCGGGUUUUAAUUAACUUGGUAACGCAGCUAACGCGUGAAGUAGACCGCCUGGGGAGUACGGUCGCAAGAUUAAAACUCAAAGGAAUUGACGGGGACCCGCACAAGCGGUGGAUGAUGUGGAUAAUUCCAAUGCAACGCGAAAACCUUACUACCCUUGACUG
Molecule: ribosomal RNA, 949 nt
Filed under: Massilia varians
Lineage: Bacteria; Pseudomonadati; Pseudomonadota; Betaproteobacteria; Burkholderiales; Oxalobacteraceae
Description: bacterial SSU rRNA
Rfam family: Bacterial small subunit ribosomal RNA
Source: RNAcentral